AUGGCCGGUGAAGGAGAUGUGAAGCUGCUGGGCACGGUGGUGAGCCCGUUCGCGGUCCGCGUGUGCAUGGCCCUGCACCUCAAGGGCGUGAGCUACGAGUACCUGGAGCAGGACCUCUUCAACAAGGGCGAGCUCCUCCUCGCCUCCAACCCGGUGCACAAGAAGGUCCCCGUGCUCAUCCACGCCGGCAGGCCCGUCUGCGAAUCGCUCGCCAUCGUCGAGUACGUCGACGAGGUCUGGGCCGGCGCAGCCUCGCUCCUCCCCGCGGACCCCUAUGGCCGUGCCGUCGCCCGCUUCUGGGCCGCCUACCUCGACGAUAAGCUGUUCCCCGCGUGGAUAGGCAUCCUACGCGCCGUCACGGAGGAGGACAGAGCCGAGAAGCUCCACGCCGCGCUCGCGGUGGUCGGGCCCAUGGAGGACGCCCUCGUGCAGUGCUCUGGUGGGAAAGACUACUUCGCCGGCGACUCCGUCGGGUACCUUGACAUCGCGCUCGGGUGCAACCUCUUCUGGUUCGAGGCGCUCCAUGAGAUGUUCGGCGUGACGGUCAUCGACGCAGGCAGGACUCCGCGCUUGGCCGCCUGGGCUGAGAGGUUCGUGGAGACGGAUGCGGCCAAGAAGGCUGCCCCGCCCAUGAAGAGCAUGGUGGACUACGCCGGGAAGCUGCGGAGUAUGUGGGCUGCCGCUGCCGCCGCUGCCAAGUAA
RNAcentral lists this ribosomal RNA (702 nucleotides) under Triticum aestivum (bread wheat). RNAcentral's name for it is "partial small subunit ribosomal RNA". Lineage: Eukaryota; Viridiplantae; Streptophyta; Magnoliopsida; Poales; Poaceae. The record is from RNAcentral.